This is a long non-coding RNA of Prinia subflava (tawny-flanked prinia), 1495 nucleotides long. RefSeq lists it as uncharacterized. The transcript is spliced from 3 exons. The record is from RefSeq and is a predicted model, not a curated record. Lineage: Eukaryota; Metazoa; Chordata; Aves; Passeriformes; Cisticolidae.
GGCCGGGGUCAGCGGGCGCGGGGAGCGGGCGGUGGCCGCUGCCGUGCCGCGCUCAGGUGCGGGGGUGUCCGGCGGCCGCGUCCCGGCCGUGCCCCGGGGCAGCGGGGCUGGGAAGGGGUGCCAGCGUCGCGUCAGGGACUGAGGAACCUGCUGCAGUGUGACAGAGAAAAAGAUAGUCCAGUACUUUUGUCACAUCCUUUUCUUUUGUACUUGCUGGUUGAAACACAGUUCCAGCAACCUUCACAUCAAAAAGUGGGAGGGAAAAAUAAUGUCCAUACCUCUUGGAGAAAGUAGAGGUGGCACAGCAACAGUGUGGCACAGCAAAAAUGUUGCUUGGUCCAGAAAUGAGAAGAACUGUGACAGGAGAAUAAAGCUUGUAGGGUGGUUUCAUCUGUACCAUCUGUGGGCCAUAUUGCACAUCAGAUGGCAGGAUAAAAUCUGCAAUGAGAACGUUUUGGGACAUAAAAGUCUUUCAGGGUUUGAAGCCAUGAUAUUCACAACACAAAUGUGCAGAGCCACUCAUGUAUCUGAAACAGAAGACAGAGAAUGCCAAAGCAGCUGCUGCAGUGAAAUAAAAGAGAGACCACACAGUUGGGGGAACAUGAUGGCAUCAAGAACAAAAGGACAUUUGAGAGAACAAGAAAGCGCAACUUCAAGCAGUGAGAAAUUGAAGUCAAUCAUUCAGAAUUAUUGACAGCAGAUACACAGUCUCACAGCAAUAAGAGACUCACUUUGGGAAUCAAGGUCAAUUAAUACUGAGGUAAAGAGGCAGCAUCCAAAAAGGCACAUUGUUUAGCAAACAGCAUUUUCUGAUUGCUGACUAGGCAACAUUAAAAAAAAUUGUCUAUCACAGGUUGGGUUUUGGUAAUUUUCGUACUCACAAGGCAAGAUACCAUUACCUUUAUUCUGUUGUAAAGGACUACUGUAUAAGAACACUAUAUGGUACUACACUUUGUGUGAGGAUUGGUGGGGCCACUGCCCAGUGGAAAACAGAAGUUCAUAGGCAUCAUUCAGACCUGAGCCUUCAUUGUAUAUUGCAUUUCACUCUGCACAUAAGUGAAAAUCUCUUCACUUUCUUCAUAUUUUCUGGGUUUGAGAGUAAUAGGGAUAAGGCCCUUUAUGAUAUAGUGCUCUGGAAAUCUGUUUCCUUCUUCCAAGCCAUAAAGGUAAACUUCCAACAGAUUUCAACCUUUUUCCUCAGUCCUACUAGCAAAGGUUUUAAGUUCAUCUUAAAUCAUCAUCUGAACUGCAGCUUGUGUUUAUUGUUUUCAUGACUGUUACAUUUAAAUAUUCACUGAUAAUCUGAUAUAUCCAACCUUGGGAAUCAGCUUUCAAAAAACACAAAGAAAUCAACAAAUAGUCACAAAAGAGAACUCUCUGCUUUAUUUUCUUAUUAUUUGUGAACUAUUGCUUUCAUACAUAUUAAACCCAGUAAUUUCUAUCCUGUUUUAGUAUCAAUGUUUUAGUUGAUCCAGCCUAUGAAACCUUUGGUAAU